RNAcentral lists this ribosomal RNA (3067 nucleotides) under Triticum aestivum (bread wheat). RNAcentral's name for it is "partial small subunit ribosomal RNA". Lineage: Eukaryota; Viridiplantae; Streptophyta; Magnoliopsida; Poales; Poaceae. The record is from RNAcentral.
GAAGGAGCAGGGGCAGUUUUAGGUAGAGAAGGGUGUCGCUGAAAAGGAGACGCGGCAGGGCAACUCUUUAAAGGAGAAGAAGGGGCCACGGGAUCGAGGUCGACGGCGGAACGGCACCGUAGCGUAUCCGGAGUGUGGGGACUCGGGGGUUGGGGACAGUGCGCGCAGCGGCGGAGGUUGGAAUAGCGCCGUGGCGCCGGGACGGCAUAGAGGGUCGGCGGCGGCGGCGGCGGUAGAAGCAGUAAUCAAAACUUCUGACUACCUAAUACUAUUGAGAUCUUCUGUGUUAGUUUCAUGAAGGUUUUUCUCCUGAGCAAAGUUAAGACUACUACCUUUCUCCUUUGCCGAUUUGAUGUCCGUCCUACCGCCUGUAUACAGGAGAGUCGGUUAUCUUUGGCAAAUGUCCUAUAACACGGGUCCUUUUUUCUAGCCGCCACAGAACCCCUCUCCACCAGUACAACAAUUCCGGGAAUCUCUCCUCUGAUUUCGUUUCUAUUCCCAACGACUAAGAUAAGGACCACGUCUGCUCUCUCAUUAAUAAUAUAAACUAAUGGUUUUAUUGAGGCUGGUUCGAUAAGUUUUAUAAAGAUUACAACUACCGAGUCUCUUGUACUUCGGGGUAACAAAACGAGUUCUACGCAACAACUUCUAUGUACUAUUCUAACGACGACUACUUCUAAGGUUGCUACCUCAAAGGAUACUCUUAAGACUUUGACGACCACUACACUGACGAGCUUAAAACCAAGGUCCGUUAGUUCAACCGACGGACGACCCUUUUCCACCGAGAUAAUAUGUUGUUAACGCUUUACUAUGACCACGUCCCUAGGCACAGAAUGGUAGGCUUUUGGAAGGAGUCACACGUGAAUUCUCACUACUUAACCACGUCUAUAGACCACGUGGAAGAGAACAUUCUUUUCGAGAGAUGCUCUAUAGAUGAGCAGAGGUAGCCGUAGGAGCAUUUCUUUUAGGUAGAGAACUUCUUUAAUAUCUACGUUCGUGUGUUUCCUUCGCGCUCAGGGGUGGUGGCGAUGGUGUACUUUUAGUGUACAAUGGUGUGGACGUACACCUAGUAGGUGGUGGUUACGGGAACGAACUAGGUAUAUCUUUGCCUGGUAACGUUAUAGGACAAGGACUUGGUCUUCUCAAAAGAUAAUUUUAAGACACGGGAAGACUCGAAUAACCUGGACAAUAACCGUCUUCACCCCGUUUACAAGCCGUCCAUCUCGUCGUCUGACCACGAGCGUAAUACCAAGUCCUCAACGGGUUUCUACGAAGACCUCUUUCCAACUAACAAUAAAGUAGGUUCCUCUAAGGCCGACUAGGUCAUAGGGGUUGUUAGCUCCGUGAAUAAAACGAGGUAUCAUUUCAUUCACUCUCGUUUCAUUCACUUGGAAGUCAUUCACGUGGAAGUCUUUCACGUGGAAGACUCCUCGUGUUGAACCAAUGUUCUGAACAACAUGGUAGUUCUUUUCAACCAACAUAAUAACCCCUUCCACCCUUCCAUUAAUGACUUUACUCUUCCGCAUAACCCCGACUUUAGGCUCAAAUAAGCUUUCGUCUAUUUGGUUUCAUGAAUAGAAAAGUGCUACUCGAACACGUCCAAAGACCCAGAGGUCUAUAACGUUCUUUUCGGUAGUGUCUCUAACGAAGCUCCGAAUCUCUAUCUUAGGAGUCUCUACCUUAAAGGAGAAAACUACCAGGAGGACGACUAUAUAAAGGAUCGUCCCUUAAGUGUGACAUGCCUUCUGGACGGUUAGGUGGUAUACCUUCCGAACGGUUACUAUGGGGAAUACCUUCCGGACGGUUACUAUGGGGAAUACCUUCCGGACGAUUACUAAGGGGUAUAGUUUCCGCCGAACGGUAACUAGUUGGUAUACCCGAACGGUCACUAAGUGAUAUACCUUCUGGACGGUUACUAGGUGAUAUACCCUCUGGUCGGUUACUAGGUGAUAUACCCUCUGGUCGGUUACUAGGUGGAAUACCUUCUGGUCGGUUACUACUUGGUAUACCCUCUGGACGGUUGCUGUGUGGUAUACCCUCUGGACGGUUGCUAUGUGGUAUACCGUCUGGUUUGUUAUUUGGGGUACUAAGUCAUCUAAUGAAGAGAUUUUCUUCUCUCAUAGGAUCACCUUCAGGUAAACGAUCGCUGCGAGGUGGUAGACGAAGAAUACUAUCUAUACGUCGUAGACGAGCGAACGGAUGAUCUCUUUACGGGAACGGACAAUCAGGACCACGACUAAUGUACAGCGUAGCAAGAAUAGUACUGGUAUACGGAUGACUAUCGAUAAGAUCAUCUCCGUAAGUCGUUAAUCCGGAGAGUUCUCGACCCUUAUCAUUAUACGUUGUUAAUCCGCAGUGGUCUCGACCUUUAAGGUUACGAAUACUAAUGUGGCUCCGACAGCCCGUCUACGUACCUGCACUCCUAAUAGUUUCUCACCGUCUACAAUGUCCCAUAAGUUCAUCGAGACAACUUGACUCCUAAGGUUUAUCAAGAGACCUUAGAUAACAACCUCGACCACCACAGUUAGAUCGUCUCUAGGCGGUCUAGAGACCACGUUCUUACUUCAAUGAACUUCGGGUAGGACCAAGAAACCUUAGGUAGUACCUCUAGGUUCCAUACGGCCUGGUUCACUCUCACCGCGUCUCGGAAGACGUUCCGAAGUAACCACGGUUGUCGGUCUCGCACGUCGGUAGGGUCAGAAGAGCGCUGCAGGUAAUGGGUUCCACCUUGAUUUGGGAUCUCCGAACAACACUUCUUGUUGCCUUGUGGCACGUUUGAGGUCCAGCUAACGGUACGACGGUGUAAUUGAUCCAACUCGCCACAUUGAAUCUAGUACAAACAACUGUUUUUAUUAGACCCGAAACCAAUAAAGGUUCCUACAUGACGAUUUUCACGAACAAAAGAAUCAGAAAAAUGGGGGGAAAACUCACUUUAUGUAGAUUACUGUUCUCAACGUUUUUGAGACAUCAGUAACAUGUGUACCUUGGACCUACCAACUUCGACAAAAAUAUACGUUACGAUAAACACUUGAAGUGUGGCAGUGUAUGAGUGUAGACCAAAAGAGGC